Molecule: ribosomal RNA, 1097 nt
Filed under: Subdoligranulum variabile DSM 15176
Lineage: Bacteria; Bacillati; Bacillota; Clostridia; Eubacteriales; Oscillospiraceae
Description: bacterial SSU rRNA
Rfam family: Bacterial small subunit ribosomal RNA
Source: RNAcentral
AAGAAGGUUUUCGGAUUGUAAACUCCUGUCGUUAGGGACGAAUCUUGACGGUACCUAACAAGAAAGCACCGGCUAACUACGUGCCAGCAGCCGCGGUAAAACGUAGGGUGCAAGCGUUGUCCGGAAUUACUGGGUGUAAAGGGAGCGCAGGCGGACCGGCAAGUUGGAAGUGAAAUCUAUGGGCUCAACCCAUAAAUUGCUUUCAAAACUGCUGGCCUUGAGUAGUGCAGAGGUAGGUGGAAUUCCCGGUGUAGCGGUGGAAUGCGUAGAUAUCGGGAGGAACACCAGUGGCGAAGGCGACCUACUGGGCACCAACUGACGCUGAGGCUCGAAAGCAUGGGUAGCAAACAGGAUUAGAUACCCUGGUAGUCCAUGCCGUAAACGAUGAUUACUAGGUGUUGGAGGAUUGACCCCUUCAGUGCCGCAGUUAACACAAUAAGUAAUCCACCUGGGGAGUACGACCGCAAGGUUGAAACUCAAAGGAAUUGACGGGGGCCCGCACAAGCAGUGGAGUAUGUGGUUUAAUUCGAAGCAACGCGAAGAACCUUACCAGGUCUUGACAUCCGAUGCAUAGUGCAGAGAUGCAUGAAGUCCUUCGGGACAUCGAGACAGGUGGUGCAUGGUUGUCGUCAGCUCGUGUCGUGAGAUGUUGGGUUAAGUCCCGCAACGAGCGCAACCCUUAUUGCCAGUUACUACGCAAGAGGACUCUGGCGAGACUGCCGUUGACAAAACGGAGGAAGGUGGGGAUGACGUCAAAUCAUCAUGCCCUUUAUGACCUGGGCUACACACGUACUACAAUGGCGUUUAACAAAGAGAUGCAAGACCGCGAGGUGGAGCAAAACUCAAAAACAACGUCUCAGUUCAGAUUGCAGGCUGCAACUCGCCUGCAUGAAGUCGGAAUUGCUAGUAAUCGCGGAUCAGCAUGCCGCGGUGAAUACGUUCCCGGGCCUUGUACACACCGCCCGUCACACCAUGAGAGCCGGGGGGACCCGAAGUCGGUAGUCUAACCGCAAGGAGGACGCCGCCGAAGGUAAAACUGGUGAUUGGGGUGAAGUCGUAACAAGGUAGCCGUAUCGGAAGGUGCGGCUGGAUCACCU